GACGUCGAUAUUCGACGUCAUAAACACGAUCAAGUUAGGUGUUUAUGACGUCGACAUUCGACGUCAGAAACACGUUCAAUUUUGGUGGACAACUUUGGCUGGAAAAAAUGAAUAUUUUUUUGAAAGUUCGUCGAUAUUCGACGUCAUAGACACGAUCAACUUAGAUGUUUAUGACGUCGAUAUUCGACGUC
Molecule: non-coding RNA, 191 nt
Organism: Paramuricea clavata
Lineage: Eukaryota; Metazoa; Cnidaria; Anthozoa; Malacalcyonacea; Plexauridae
Source: the annotation of a GenBank genome assembly